GUCAUCUCCGCGAUAGAGUGUGGUUGGCACCACCUCGCCCAUCGGUGCCCAGUUGGACAUCCUCCAAAACCUUGUGGCUAAUACACGUUCGCUCAGGUCGGCCACGGUACACACUUUGGGAUCCAGGCGGUCCCCGCCCGGCCCCGCAACGGGUCGUGGUGGCGGAUUGCACCCAGCCGGUAUGAAGACCAGCGUCCUUCAACGGACAGUGUGUUGUGGUUGACCCAGGCUGGUCCCUCCUGGGACGGUUGCGCUGGCAGAGUUUCGGUGGCCCCGUCAAAACGGGCCACAGCCUCGGCUUGAUCGCACGAACUUCUGACCUAUCAGCUUGGACUGUGGUGUCGUGGACCACAGUGGCCUUGACGGGUAACGGAGAAUCAGGGUUCGAUUCCGGAGAGGGAGCCUGAGAGACGGCUACCACUACCAAGGUGGGCAGCAGGCGCGCAAAUUGCCCAAUGCAAACAAAGUCUGCGAGGCAGCGACGAACUGCAGCAAUUCCACUGGUCUUCUUCACCAGUGGAACUUGGAAUGGAUGCAAUCCAAAGACAGUGAUGAGUAACAACUGGAGGGAAAGUCUGGUGCCAGCAC
This 588-nucleotide ribosomal RNA is filed under the name Euglena deses. Its description in RNAcentral is "SSU rRNA". It matches the Rfam family "Eukaryotic small subunit ribosomal RNA", at positions 112 to 573 of the family's 1831-position model. Lineage: Eukaryota; Euglenozoa; Euglenophyceae; Euglenales; Euglenaceae. The record is from RNAcentral.